UGAACGCUGGCGGCGUGCCUAAUACAUGCAAGUCGAGCGAACAGACGAGGAGCUUGCUCCUCUGACGUUAGCGGCGGACGGGUGAGUAACACGUGGAUAACCUACCUAUAAGACUGGGAUAACUUCGGGAAACCGGAGCUAAUACCGGAUAAUAUAUUGAACCGCAUGGUUCAAUAGUGAGAGACGGUUUUGCUGUCACUUAUAGAUGGAUCCGCGCCGCAUUAGCUAGUUGGUAAGGUAACGGCUUACCAAGGCAACGAUGCGUAGCCGACCUGAGAGGGUGAUCGGCCACACUGGAACUGAGACACGGUCCAGACUCCUACGGGAGGCAGCAGUAGGGAAUCUUCCGCAAAGGGCGAAAGCCUGACGGAGCAACGCCGCGUGAGUGAUGAAGGUCUUCGGAUCGUAAAACUCUGUUAUUAGCGAAGAACAAAUGUGUAAGUAACUAUGCACGUCUUGACGGUACCUAAUCAGAAAGCCACGGCUAACUACGUG
This 495-nucleotide ribosomal RNA is filed under the name uncultured bacterium. RNAcentral's name for it is "partial 16S ribosomal RNA". It matches the Rfam family "Bacterial small subunit ribosomal RNA", at positions 30 to 507 of the family's 1533-position model. The record is from RNAcentral.